This 1876-nucleotide long non-coding RNA is filed under the name Ananas comosus (pineapple). Its description in RNAcentral is "long non-coding RNA (ACOM_LNC005234)". Lineage: Eukaryota; Viridiplantae; Streptophyta; Magnoliopsida; Poales; Bromeliaceae. The record is from RNAcentral.
UGAUACUUUUCAGAAUUCAUACUUUUCUUUUAUGAAAGUUAGUCAGAUAACAUCUAUCUGAAAAAACAUCUUGAGUAUAUCAAACUGAAUAUGAGGCAAAAUUCUAGUUACUUGCGGAUAAAAAGAUAUUCACAAUCAAACAUUUUAUGAAUAAAAAGUCAAACAUUGAUCACGAUUUUGGAGGUCUAAACAAUCUCAAGCGUCCUGAAAUUCGUACUGAACUUCCAACUUAGUAGGUACUAUUAAGUUUGAUUGUCAGGCCUCAUCUAGUUCUUCUCAGUCCGUAUAUUUUAACUAGUUCUUCUCGAUCCGUAUAAAUAAAAUUAAGAAUCGUCUCGAUCUGAAUUAAUAUUAGAAGAUACAUCUUUGAACUUCGACUCAAUCUAAAUCAAACUUAAUCACCUAAAUUUUUCUGAAUCAGGAUGUUCUCAUGUUAGUCACAACACUUUUUAAGAUGACCCUCAACUAAUUAAGAGUGCAAAUUAAGUUUGUCCUGUAGAAUGCGAAAUGCAUAAGAUACAUAAAACUGAUAUGUGAGAUGAGAUCUUAGGUUUUGGCUCCCAUAAGAAAUGAUCCGGAAUUGUAUGUACCAAACGAAGGUUAAACAAACAGCGCCAGCAGAGUUUGCCUACAACCUCAUUUUGCUCAGAGUGCAGAAAAUGUGUUCUCACGAGCAAAAUAGAUAACAUGCAAUGAUUAAAAUCCACAACCUUAGAAAUCCGAGGAGUUUAGGAGUGAUUUCGAUACUAGGUUACGUAACAGAUCGAUCUAAUGAAAAGUCACUUAGAAAUAGUGUUACCAUCCAUUACAUUUGGUCAAUUAUCUUACAACCUAAAUUUCUUCCAAUCCUCAACACUACAAAUUCCAACCACUACAAAUCAAAGGAUGGGGACCUGAUGUAGAGAUCGGUGACGUUGAGGGAGAGCUGGGCGUGCUAGAGGGGAUUCUCGGCGAGCCACACGGCGCGGUCGUCGCGGCUCCGUCGAAACCCUAGAUGCCGUCGCCGAGAGCUUUCUCAGCCACUCCUCCGCCGCCGCCGAGAGCUCCUCCGCCGGAGACGACGACGCCGCCGCCGCUGCCGAUAGAGAACCGACACAGCUUGGAUCGAGAGAGGAGCGGGGAGGGGGAGGAGGAGGGAGGAGGGGGAGCCUGGAUCCAGAGAGGAACGGGGAGGGGGACGGGGACGGGGAUUGGGGAGGGGGAGGGGGAGUGGGCACGGGUUGAGAGAGGGCGCAGGUUGGGUUGGGUUAGGUUGAGGUUGGGUUAGGUUGGGGUUGGAUUAGGAUUAUAUUUAAUAUAUAAAUAUUAGUAGAUUGAAACUAUAUAUUUAAAAAUAAUUGUCGCUAAAGGUGUAAUAAAAUAAUCGUAAUAGCGGCCGUUUGAUAAUCACCGCUAAAUAAUUGCCACAAAAAGUCCCUUUUGGUGUAGUGCAAGUAAAUAACAUGAAUGCUUGCUAUAACAUGAUGUCUCUACUUAGCAUGAUUUGCAUAAGUAAGAAAGCUACUCUAACAUGAAUAAACAUGAGUGUGCAACCAACAUAAUGUCCACAAUGGAAAUAGUAAGAUGUCAUUAUUUACUAUUCUAGUUCAAGUCCACUUGGCAUAUUAACUACUUAUAGUUACAAUCUUGUAAGACCCACCCAUAGGCUGUCUGGCCUGUGCCGUGCCUAAUGGCCCCGUGGUAGUCAACAUCCCCACUCUAGGAAUGAGCCUCCCCACGGCAAUCCAUUUCGGCGCCCAAUCCCGCAUGGGCGAGCAUAUGUCGCGAUGGCUAUCUCCGAAGUGCUGGCUUGUACGGAGCGACCCUCACAAGCAUGUGUUAAUGAGCACAAGGGCAAGCAAGCGUAAAAUCUGUCUCAAGUCUCAAGUCAUCAUGU